UCAUAUGCUUGUCUCAAAGCUUAAGCCAUGCAAGUGUAAGUUCACGCCACGCAUUAGAACGGGCGAAACCGCGAAUGGCUCAGGAACCGGACCUAAUCCUCGGGACCGUAAUCCUCCUCGGAGGCGAUGGAUAACUGUGGCAAUUCUAGAGCUAAUACAUGUGACACAGGCCGCGAUCGGUCGACGCGCCGUGGUCGCCUCGCCUCGCGCGCUGGCACCCGCGUCGGCCGUCUUGGGUCGCGGCGCUACAUAUUAGACUGAGACCGAUGCGCGAUUUCCGUCCUCUCGUUUCGGGUUUCGGCUCGUUUCGGGGUCAAGGUCGGCGCGCUCCGCUUUGGUGACUCUGGAUAACUCACUGGUCGAUCGCACGGGCUUCCACGCCCGGCGACGGGUCCCUCGWGGGUCCGCCCUAUCAACUGUCGACGGUCGGUUAAGUGCCUACCGUGGUUACUACGGGUAACGGGGAAUCGGGGUUCGAUUCCGGAGAGGGAGCAUGCGAAACGGCUACCACAUCCAAGGAAGGCAGCAGGCGCGCAAAUUACCCACUCCCGGCACGGGGAGGUAGUGACGAAAAAUAACGACGCGGGACUCUGUCGAGGCCCCGCGAUCGGAAUGAGUACACUUCAAAUCCGUUAACGAGGACCAACCGGAGGGCAAGUCUGGUGCCAGCAGCCGCGGUAAUUCCAGCUCCGGUAGCGUAUAUUAAAGUUGUUGCGGUUAAAAAGCUCGUAGUCCGAACUCGGGUUCGUGGUCGCUCACGCGGCCCCGGGGCGGCGGCGCCAUCGUCCAUCGUUGACUUUGGUCGUCCGUUCGCAUUCCCGGCCCUUUCCGCCGGUGUCAAUCGCUAUUAAGACGGUCGCAGGUCAGCUGGUGGUUGGCGUGGUGCUUGCGCUUUGGGGGGGUUCGAGGUGCGGGUUCGCCCAAACUGACUUCUCUUCCUUUGCGUUCGUGUCCGGGCUUUCGGGCUCCCUUCCGCUAUGCCCCUGUGUGCCGUCGGUGAUUUCUCCUCCAAGGGUGCUCUUAACCGAGUGUCCGCGGCGGCCGGUACGUUCACUUUGAAAAAAUUAGAGUGCUCAGAGCGGGCUGUUCAAGCUUGCAUACUAUAAGCAUGGAAUGAUGGAAGAGGGCCUCGUCUACGUCUGUCGGUCUCCGUCUACGGCGAGGCAAUGAUCGAAGGGAGCGGUCGGGGCCACUCGUAUUGCGACGUUAGAGGUGAAAUUCUUGGAUCGUCGCAAGACGAACUGCAGCGAUGGCGUGUGGCAAGCACGUUUUCCUCGAUCAAGAGCGAAAGUCGGAGGUUCGAAGACGAUCAGAUACCGUCGUAGUUCCGACCGUAAACGAUGCCGACCGGCGAUCCGCCGGCGUUCGCUUCCAUGACCCGGCGGGUAGCCUGCGGGAAACCAGAGUUCGGUUCCGGGGGGAGUAUGGUUGCAAAGCUGAAACUUAAAGGAAUUGACGGAAGGGCACCACCAGGAGUGGAGCCUGCGGCUUAAUUUGACUCAACACGGGAAAACUCACCCGGUCCGGACACCGGUAGGAUUGACAGAUCGAUAGCUCUUUCUCGAUUCGGUGGGUGGUGGUGCAUGGCCGUUCUUAGUUGGUGGAGCGAUCCGUCUGGUUGAUUCCGAUAACGAACGAGACUCCGGCCUGCUAACUAGUGCGCCGAUGUGAGUGCGGCCUUCGGGUCGUGUGCGGGCUCGUGGGCGAUUUUUGAUCGUCUCUCGUGUCCGGGUCGGUUUCUCACGCACUUCUUAGAGGGACGGGUGGCAGAAAGCCACACGAGGCGGAGCGAUAACAGGUCUGUGAUGCCCUUAGAUGUCCGGGGCCGCACGCGCGCUACACUGGAGGUAUCAGCGGGGACUUCGCCCCGGCCCGAGAGGGUCGGGAAACCUCUCAACCACCUCCCGUGAUAGGGAUCGGGGCCUGUAACCAACCCCGUGAACGAGGAAUUCCCGGUAGGCGCGGGUCAACAGCCCGCGUCGAUCACGUCCCUGCCCUUUGUACACACCGCCCGUCGCUACUACCGAUCGAACGGUCCGGUGAGGUCCUCGGAUCUGGCCGACGACGCCGCCGGGUGAAGGCUUUCGGGUCCCGCCUCGGCGUUCGAUGCCUGGAGAAGACGACCGAACCCGAUCGUUUAGAGGAAGUAAAAGUCGUAACAAGGUUUCC
RNAcentral lists this ribosomal RNA (2169 nucleotides) under Gonatus fabricii. RNAcentral describes it as "SSU rRNA". It matches the Rfam family "Eukaryotic small subunit ribosomal RNA". Lineage: Eukaryota; Metazoa; Mollusca; Cephalopoda; Oegopsida; Gonatidae. The record is from RNAcentral.